GCCAGAUGUGACAUCAUGAUGACCCAGUCUUCAUCCUCCCGGUCUGAAUCUCCAGGAGACAAAGUCACCAUCACCUGCAGGGCCAGUCAGAGUAUUAACAGUUGGUUAGCUUGGCAUCAACAGAAGCCAGGGCAAGCUCCUAAACGCCUGAUAUAUAAGGCAUCCAAUUUGCAAUCUGGGGUCCCCUCGAGGUUCAGUGGCAGUGGAUCUGGGACAGAUUACUCUCUCACAAUCAGCAGCCUGGAGCCUGAAGAUGUUGCCACUUAUUACUGCCUACAGGGUAGUAGUUGGCCACCCACAGUGAUACAGGCCCUGACAAAAACCUCCCAGGGAGCAGAAG
Molecule: long non-coding RNA, 340 nt
Filed under: Marmota monax (woodchuck)
Lineage: Eukaryota; Metazoa; Chordata; Mammalia; Rodentia; Sciuridae
Source: RNAcentral